RNAcentral lists this long non-coding RNA (202 nucleotides) under Elaeis guineensis (African oil palm). RNAcentral's name for it is "long non-coding RNA (EGUI_LNC020639)". The record is from RNAcentral. Lineage: Eukaryota; Viridiplantae; Streptophyta; Magnoliopsida; Arecales; Arecaceae.
CAAGCAGCCAUACCUAGAACAUAUUGAUGUAUCAAUAGAGAUAUAUGUUGAGGAGAUUUCAGCCUUCAUGAUUUGAGAUAUAGAAGCUAUGUGAAGAGCCAUGAGCAUCAAAUAGGAAAAGAAAAGAACUCUAUAAAUAUACCACUGAACAUUGCCAAGAUGAAUAGAAGAGUUGGAUGAAUUGUUUUGGCAAAACUUCAAC